GGAGGGGUCGCAUAGUGGCCUAGUGCGGGCGCCUGCUAAGCGCUUAAGGGGUUUAUUCCCCUUCAUGGGUUCGAAUCCCAUUCCCUCCGCCA
This 92-nucleotide transfer RNA is filed under the name SAR202 cluster bacterium. RNAcentral's name for it is "tRNA-Ser". It matches the Rfam family "tRNA". Rfam says of the family: Transfer RNA (tRNA) molecules are approximately 80 nucleotides in length. Their secondary structure includes four short double-helical elements and three loops (D, anti-codon, and T loops). Lineage: Bacteria; Bacillati; Chloroflexota; Dehalococcoidia. The record is from RNAcentral.